Oncorhynchus keta (chum salmon) is the source of this 423-nucleotide long non-coding RNA. RefSeq lists it as uncharacterized. The record is from RefSeq and is a predicted model, not a curated record. The transcript has 3 exons. NCBI's taxonomy places the organism in Eukaryota, Metazoa, Chordata, Actinopteri, Salmoniformes, Salmonidae.
UCAUAAUAAUGGAGGUUGCCGAGGGGGAGCAGCAUCAUAAUAAUGGAGGUUGCCGAGGGGGAGGAGCAUCAUAAUAAUGGAGGUUGCCGAGGGGGAGGAGCAUCAUAAUAAUGGAGGUUGCCGAGGGGGAGGAGCAUCAUAAUAAUGGAGGUUGCCGAGGGGGAGGAGCAUCAUAAUAAUGGAGGUUGCCGAGGGGGAGGAGCAUCAUAAUAAUGGAGGCUGCCGAGGGGGAGGAGCAUCAUAAUAAUGGAGGUUGCCGAGGGGGAGGAGCAUCAUAAUAAUGGAGGCUGCCGAGGGGGAGGAGCAUCAUAAUAAUGGAGGCUGCCGAGGGGGAGGAGCAUCAUAAUAAUGGAGGCUGCCGAGGGGGAGGAGCAUCAUAAUAAUGGAGGUUGCCGAGGGGGAGGAGCAUCAUAAUAAUGGAGG